RNAcentral lists this non-coding RNA (172 nucleotides) under Synergistaceae bacterium. RNAcentral describes it as "6S RNA". It matches the Rfam family "6S / SsrS RNA". Rfam says of the family: E. coli 6S RNA was the first non coding RNA to be sequenced, but its function was unknown until recently. It consists of 184 nucleotides that fold into an extended hairpin structure with a large single-stranded internal bulge. The 6S RNA specifically associates with RNA polymerase holoenzyme containing the sigma70 specificity factor. Lineage: Bacteria; Thermotogati; Synergistota; Synergistia; Synergistales; Synergistaceae. The record is from RNAcentral.
UAAAACCUGCGGUGUGCGUGAAACGGGAAGUGUCUUGAGCCAACGUUCUAACCCCGCGGAGGUUGCUCCGGACCGGCAGCGGCGGCGUAUGCUGCCCACGCCAAGGCCCGGGAACCUCCAUUCCGUUAAGGAGCGGGUCAAGACAAUCCGUUCACGGCAUUGCGGGUUUUAU